UGGUAUGUACUGGCUUUACUGAUUCCUCCUUCUUGAAGAACUGUAAUGUCAUUAAUUUGGUGUUGCAGGGAAACAGGACUGUUACUUUGAAAAAAUUAGAGUGUUUAAAGCAGGCUAACGCUUGAAUACAUUAGCAUGGAAUAAUGAAAUAGGACGUUCGAUCCUAUUUUGUUGGUUUCUAGGAUUGACGUAAUGAUUAAUAGGGAUAGUUGGGGGCAUUAGUAUUCAGUUGUCAGAGGUGAAAUUCUUGGAUUUAUUGAAGACUAACUACUGCGAAAGCAUUUGCCAAGGAUGUUUUCAUUAAUCAAGAACGAAAGUUAGGGGAUCGAAGACGAUCAGAUACCGUCGUAGUCUUAACCAUAAACUAUGCCGACUAGGGAUCGGAUGAUGUUAAUUUUUUAAUGACUCAUUCGGCGCCUUACG
Molecule: ribosomal RNA, 423 nt
Filed under: uncultured Glomeromycotina
Lineage: Eukaryota; Fungi; Glomeromycota
Description: SSU rRNA
Rfam family: Eukaryotic small subunit ribosomal RNA
Source: RNAcentral